Molecule: long non-coding RNA, 218 nt
Filed under: Nicotiana benthamiana
Lineage: Eukaryota; Viridiplantae; Streptophyta; Magnoliopsida; Solanales; Solanaceae
Description: long non-coding RNA (NBEN_LNC000549)
Source: RNAcentral
AGGAAAGGAUAAAGCUAGAUAAGACAGAAAGUGCUCAUUUGGCAUCCUCUUCUAAGGCAACUGAGAAGAGGAAAGGUAAGGAAGUUGCGGUUGCAAAGCCUAAGAUUAAGCAACAUAAGGAACCUAAAGUUGAAAUUACUGAAUUAGGUUGCUUCUUCUGUAAGAGGACUAAUCAUGUGAAGAAAGAUUGUACCAAGUACCAUGCCUGGCGUGCGAAA